RNAcentral lists this ribosomal RNA (406 nucleotides) under uncultured bacterium. RNAcentral's name for it is "bacterial SSU rRNA". It matches the Rfam family "Bacterial small subunit ribosomal RNA", at positions 132 to 518 of the family's 1533-position model. The record is from RNAcentral.
UUCAGACGGGGACAACUCAGGGAAACUUGUGCUAAUACCCGAUGAGACCACAAGAAGGGAUUUUUGUGGCCAAAGGCGGGCAGCAAUGCUCGUGCUGAAAGAUGAGUCUGCGUCCUAUCAGCUAGUUGGUGGGGUAAAUGCCUACCAAGGGCUAAGACGGGGUAGCCGGCCUGAGAGGGUGAACGGCCACACUGGGACUGAGACACGGCCCAGACUCCUACGGGAGGCAGCAGUGAGGAAUUUUCCGCAAUGGGCGCAAGCCUGACGGAGCGACGCCGCGUGAGGGAUGAACCAGCUUUCGGGUUGUAAACCUCUUUUAUUAAGGAAAAAGAUCUAUAUGCUAAUAUCAUGUAGAUUUGAUGGUACUUAUUGAAUAAGCCCCGGCUAACUACGUGCCAGCAGCCGC